AUCCAGCUGACGAAUCCAAAAAAUAGGACGAAAUGCGCAUCCUGAAU
This 47-nucleotide non-coding RNA is filed under the name Schistosoma mattheei. Lineage: Eukaryota; Metazoa; Platyhelminthes; Trematoda; Strigeidida; Schistosomatidae. The record is from RNAcentral.